This 476-nucleotide ribosomal RNA is filed under the name uncultured bacterium. RNAcentral's name for it is "bacterial SSU rRNA". It matches the Rfam family "Bacterial small subunit ribosomal RNA", at positions 28 to 521 of the family's 1533-position model. The record is from RNAcentral.
GACGAACGCUGGCGGCGUGCCUAACACAUGCAAGUCGAGGGGUGAUUUCGGUCAUCACUGGCGCACGGGUGAGUAACGCGUAGAUCAUCUGCCCCUAUCACUGACAUAACAGUUCUAACGGACUGCUAAUAUCAGAUGAGGUGAGCAAUCAUCAAAGUUUCGACGGAUAGGGAUGAGUCUGCGUCUGAUUAGGUAGUUGGUGAGGUAACGGCUCACCAAGCCGACGAUCAGUAACUGGUCUGGGAGGACGAACAGUCACACUGGAACUGAGACACGGUCCAGACUCCUACGGGAGGCAGCAGUGAGGAAUAUUGCACAAUGGGAGGGAAUCCUGAUGCAGCGACGCCGCGUGCGGGAGUGAAGGGGCGUUAGCCUCGUAAACCGACUGUCGGAGGGGACGGAAUGGUACGAUUUGAUGUACUGAGACGGUACCCUCCAAAGGAAGGAUCGGCUAACUACGUGCCAGCAGCCGCGGU